Small nucleolar RNA from Delphinapterus leucas (beluga whale), 82 nucleotides. Its record names the gene SNORD116. It matches the Rfam family "Small nucleolar RNA SNORD116". From Rfam's summary of the family: HBII-85 is a member of the C/D class of snoRNAs, which contain the C (UGAUGA) and D (CUGA) box motifs. The record is from Ensembl. Lineage: Eukaryota; Metazoa; Chordata; Mammalia; Artiodactyla; Monodontidae.
GGAUCGAUGAUGACUGUAAUUAUUGAUCUCAGAAAAUCUGAACAAAAUGAGUGACCUAAUCAGUUCUGGGAAACUGAGGUCC